This 74-nucleotide transfer RNA is filed under the name Chromatium okenii. It matches the Rfam family "tRNA". From Rfam's summary of the family: Transfer RNA (tRNA) molecules are approximately 80 nucleotides in length. Their secondary structure includes four short double-helical elements and three loops (D, anti-codon, and T loops). Lineage: Bacteria; Pseudomonadati; Pseudomonadota; Gammaproteobacteria; Chromatiales; Chromatiaceae. The record is from Rfam by way of RNAcentral. RNAcentral also lists the same sequence under 3 other names.
GCGCCCGUAGCUCAGUUGGAUAGAGUACCUGGCUACGAACCAGGUGGUCGGGAGUUCGAAUCUCUCCGGGCGCG